UGGGGAAUUUUGGACAAUGGGGGCAACCCUGAUCCAGCAACGCCGCGUGGAGGAAGAAGGCUCUCGGGUCGUAAACUCCUUUCAGUUGGGACGAAGCUUCGCGGGUUAACAGCCGGCUGAAGUGACGGUACCUUCACAAGAAGCACCGGCUAACUACGUGCCAGCAGCCGCGGUAAUACGUAGGGUGCAAGCGUUGUCCGGAAUCAUUGGGCGUAAAGAGCGUGUAGGCGGCCCGAUUAGUCCGCUGUGAAAGUCCAGGGCUCAACCCUGGAAUGCCGGUGGAUACUGUCGGGCUCGAGUCCGGAAGAGGCGAGUGGAAUUCCUGGUGUAGCGGUGAAAUGCGCAGAUAUCAGGAAGAACACCAACGGCGAAGGCAGCUCGCUGGGACGGUACUGACGCUGAGACGCGAAAGCGUGGGGAGCAAACAGG
RNAcentral lists this ribosomal RNA (429 nucleotides) under uncultured bacterium. RNAcentral describes it as "bacterial SSU rRNA". It matches the Rfam family "Bacterial small subunit ribosomal RNA", at positions 355 to 776 of the family's 1533-position model. The record is from RNAcentral.